CUAAUCUGCCCACUGUUUUAUAAAGGGCCGCAGUAAUUUGACUGUGCAAAGGUAGCAUAAUAAUUAGUUUUUUAAUUGAAAGCUUGUAUGAAUGAUUGGACGAGAAUAGAACUGUCUUAAAAUUACAAAAUUAGAAUUUAAUAUUUAAGUAAAAAAGCUUAAAUAUAAAUUAGACACGAGAAGACCCUAUAAAUUUUUAUAUUUUUUUGUUUUUGAAUUAUUUGAAUUUAUUUGUUAAUUAUGGAAUAAUUAUUUAAUUGGGGCGAUAGAAAAAUUUAUUAAGCUUUUUUAAUAUAAAGUCCAAUUUCUUUGAGUAUGUGAUCCUUUAUUACCAUUGAUAGAUUACUAUACCUCACGGAUGACCCCGUAAUUUUUUUUUAUAAUUCAAAUAAAAAAAAAAUAUUGCCGCCCCCCUGUUGGAUUAAGAUUAAAUUUUGGUGAAUAAAUACCUGUUUGUUGUCUGUUGACCUUUCAAUGUCGCACCCGCUA
RNAcentral lists this ribosomal RNA (489 nucleotides) under Batrisocenus sp. QH24. RNAcentral describes it as "partial large subunit ribosomal RNA". Lineage: Eukaryota; Metazoa; Arthropoda; Insecta; Coleoptera; Staphylinidae. The record is from RNAcentral.